AUACGUAGGGAGCGAGCGUUGUCCGGAAUUACUGGGUGUAAAGGGAGCGUAGGCGGGAGUGCAAGUCAGAUGUGAAAUACAUGGGCUCAACCCAUGGGCUGCAUUUGAAACUGCAUUUCUUGAGUGAAGUAGAGGUAAGCGGAAUUCCUGGUGUAGCGGUGAAAUGCGUAGAUAUCAGGAGGAACACCGGUGGCGAAGGCGGCUUACUGGGCUUUUACUGACGCUGAGGCUCGAAAGCGUGGGGAGCAAACAGGAUUAGAGACCCUGGUAGUCCACGCUGUAAACGAUGAUUACUAGGUGUGGGGGGACUGACCCCUUCCGUGCCGCAGUUAACACAAUAAGUAAUCCACCUGGGGAGUACGGCCGCAAGGUUGAAACUCAAAGGAAUUGACGGGG
RNAcentral lists this ribosomal RNA (396 nucleotides) under uncultured bacterium. RNAcentral describes it as "partial 16S ribosomal RNA". It matches the Rfam family "Bacterial small subunit ribosomal RNA", at positions 523 to 918 of the family's 1533-position model. The record is from RNAcentral.